RNAcentral lists this ribosomal RNA (460 nucleotides) under uncultured bacterium. RNAcentral's name for it is "partial 16S ribosomal RNA". It matches the Rfam family "Bacterial small subunit ribosomal RNA", at positions 338 to 795 of the family's 1533-position model. The record is from RNAcentral.
CCUACGGGUGGCAGCAGUGAGGAAUAUUGGUCAAUGGACGAGAGUCUGAACCAGCCAAGUAGCGUGAAGGAUGACUGCCCUAUGGGUUGUAAACUUCAUGUAUAAAGGAAUAAAACGAGGCACGUGUGCAUUUUUGCAUGUACGUUAUGAAUAAGGAUCGGCUAACUCCGUGCCAGCAGCCGCGGUAAUACGGAGGAUCCGAGCGUUAUCCGGAUUUAUUGGGUUUAAAGGGAGCGUAGAUGGGUUGGUAAGUCAGUUGUGAAAGUUUGCGGCUCAACCGUAAAAUUGCAAUUGAUACUGGCAGUCUUGAGUACAGUUGAGUUCGGCGUCAUUCGUGGUGUAGCGGUGCAAUGCUUAGAUCUCCCGAAGAACCCCGAUUGCGACGGCAGCUUACUAAACUGUGCCUGACAUUGAUGCUCGACCGUGUGGGUCUCAAACAGGAUUAGAUACCCUUGUAGUC